RNAcentral lists this ribosomal RNA (638 nucleotides) under uncultured bacterium. RNAcentral's name for it is "bacterial SSU rRNA". It matches the Rfam family "Bacterial small subunit ribosomal RNA", at positions 125 to 761 of the family's 1533-position model. The record is from RNAcentral.
CCUGCCGUCUACUCUUGGACAGCCUUCUGAAAGGAAGAUUAAUACAAGAUGGCAUCAUGAGUCCGCAUGUUCACAUGAUUAAAGGUAUUCCGGUAGACGAUGGGGAUGCGUUCCAUUAGAUAGUAGGCGGGGUAACGGCCCACCUAGUCUUCGAUGGAUAGGGGUUCUGAGAGGAAGGUCCCCCACAUUGGAACUGAGACACGGUCCAAACUCCUACGGGAGGCAGCAGUGAGGAAUAUUGGUCAAUGGGCGAGAGCCUGAACCAGCCAAGUAGCGUGAAGGAUGACUGCCCUAUGGGUUGUAAACUUCUUUUAUAAAGGAAUAAAGUCGGGUAUGCAUACCCGUUUGCAUGUACUUUAUGAAUAAGGAUCGGCUAACUCCGUGCCAGCAGCCGCGGUAAUACGGAGGAUCCGAGCGUUAUCCGGAUUUAUUGGGUUUAAAGGGAGCGUAGAUGGAUGUUUAAGUCAGUUGUGAAAGUUUGCGGCUCAACCGUAAAAUUGCAGUUGAUACUGGAUAUCUUGAGUGCAGUUGAGGCAGGCGGAAUUCGUGGUGUAGCGGUGAAAUGCUUAGAUAUCACGAAGAACUCCGAUUGCGAAGGCAGCCUGCUAAGCUGCAACUGACAUUGAGGCUCGAAAGUG